GCCUAAAGCGUCCGUAGCCUGCUUUGUAAGUUUCCGGUUAAAUCCAUUAGCUUAACUGAUGGGCCGCCGAAAAAACUGCAAAGCUAGGGAGUGGGAGAGGUAGACGGUACUCAGUAGGAAGGGGUAAAAUCCUUUGAUCUAUUGAUGACCACCAGUGGCGAAGGCGGUCUACCAGAACACGUUCGACGGUGAGGGAUGAAAGCUGGGGGAGCAAACCGGAUUAGAUACCCGGGUAGUCCCAGCUGUAAACGAUGCAGACUCGGUGAUGCCCUGGCUUGUGGCCAGUGCAGUGCCGCAGGGAAGCCGUUAAGUUUGCCGCCUGGGAAGUACGUACGCAAGUAUGAAACUUAAAGGAAUUGGCGGGGGAGCACCACAAGGGGUGAAGCCUGCGGUUCAAUUGGAGUCAACGCCAGAAAUCUUACCCGGAGAGACAGCAGAAUGAAGGUCAAGCUGAAGACUUUACCAGACAAGCUGAGAGGUGGUGCAUGGCCGUCGCCAGCUCGUGCCGUGAGAUGUCCUGUUAAGUCAGGUAACGAGCGAGACCCUUGCCUCUAGUUGCUACCAUUGCUCUCUGGAGCAGUGGGGCGAAUUAGCGGGACCGCCGCAGUUAAUGCGGAGGAAGGAAAGGGCUACGGCAGGUCAGUAUGCCCCGAA
Molecule: ribosomal RNA, 654 nt
Filed under: uncultured archaeon
Lineage: Archaea
Description: bacterial SSU rRNA
Rfam family: Archaeal small subunit ribosomal RNA
Source: RNAcentral